RNAcentral lists this ribosomal RNA (497 nucleotides) under uncultured bacterium. RNAcentral describes it as "partial 16S ribosomal RNA". It matches the Rfam family "Bacterial small subunit ribosomal RNA", at positions 28 to 507 of the family's 1533-position model. The record is from RNAcentral.
GAUGAACGCUGGCGGCGUGCCUAAUACAUGCAAGUCGAGCGAACGGACGAGAAGCUUGCUUCUCUGAUGUUAGCGGCGGACGGGUGAGUAACACGUGGAUAACCUACCUAUAAGACUGGGAUAACUUCGGGAAACCGGAGCUAUUACCGGAUGAUAUUUUGAACCGCAUGGUUCAAAAGUGAAAGACGGUCUUGCUGUCACUUAUAGAUGGAUCCGCGCUGCAUUAGCUAGUUGGUAAGGUAACGGCUUACCAAGGCAACGAUGCAUAGCCGACCUGAGAGGGUGAUCGGCCACACUGGAACUGAGACACGGUCCAGACUCCUACGGGAGGCAGCAGUAGGGAAUCUUCCGCAAUGGGCGAAAGCCUGACGGAGCAACGCCGCGUGAGUGAUGAAGGUCUUCGGAUCGUAAAACUCUGUUAUUAGGGAAGAACAUAUGUGUAAGUAACUGUGCACAUCUUGACGGUACCUAAUCAGAAAGCCACGGCUAACUACGUG